Molecule: long non-coding RNA, 21805 nt
Filed under: Setaria viridis
Lineage: Eukaryota; Viridiplantae; Streptophyta; Magnoliopsida; Poales; Poaceae
Description: long non-coding RNA (SVIR_LNC010169)
Source: RNAcentral
UUUUUUUUUGUCUAAACCGCUUGCAGAGCAUUGACUUUCUAUCAACUGUCAUUGAUAAUCAAGAUGUGACUGCCAUUCUUCUUCAGCCUUUGAUAAAAGUGGGAUUGGUUGACCAUGUUAUCAGUUUGUUAGCAAGUGAGAUCGAAAAAUUAUCAGAUGAGAGCAAAUUUGACAGGUACGAUGAGCAGUAUUCUUGUGAAUUGAACCAAUUUUAGAACAUGCUCUUUUCGUAUAAUAUUAUCUGUUAUCCAUAAAAAAAUUAUCUGUUGCCUGUACUGAAUUUAUUCUUGAUACCCUCAGGUUUUCACUAUGUAUUUUGGAGAAUUUUCUUUAGGUAAUAAGAGUGCCAUAUUUGAUUAUCCAGUGUUUUUGAAGGUCUAGAAAUGAGGAUUUGUGCUCCAACCAUAAUAAUAAUUGUUUACAAUAUUCUAAUCUUCCUUCUGAUGCAAAGUUAAAAUCCCUCCUUGCUUUGUAGGUUGCAGGUGUUUCUUAUUUUCUUAUAGAUUGAUCUGUCUUGUAUUCCUGGUUUUGUUUUGAUUUGAUAUGCCCUUGUUAUUAUCCUUGUUACUUCAAUUUCAAGUUAAUAACUUGGGACAGAAAUAAAAAUAUAUGAUUUUCAUUUUAUGAACACAUUUCAGGUCCGUCUCUCUUGAUUUGAUCCUUCAUUUCAUUGAAGAGUUAUCUGCAACAGACAGCUGUUUAGAAGUGAUGUCAUCAAGUGACCAGCUGAUUCAAGUGCUUUAUAAGAUAAUUAAGUUACCUGAUAAAUUUGAGGUGAGCACUAUGCUUCCUUUUUUUUUUAUUUGACCAUCAGAAUCCUGUUUAGGUUACACAGUCUGGUUUACUGCCUUGUUUCGGUAUGAACCUUUACCAUCAGUAAAAUCAUGAAAUGGGAAAACGGACGCUUACAAAUUAUUGAAUUUGUAUACUCAGUUAGAUACCUGAAAUUUCUAUACCUAUAGAUAAUAUGCAACAAGAGCAUGGUAAUUGUGUUUUAUUUGCAAACUCUGCUUCAGGUUUCAAGCUAUUGUGCUUCUGUGGUGAUCAUACUAGCAAAUAUUCUGGCAGAUGGAAAGCAUAUUGUGCCUAGUCUCUCUCACGGUUGGUCACAUUUUAUGAAGAAUGCAUCUUACCAUUUGAAAAUCACUUUUGUGCUAUCCCAAUACUCUGGCAUUUUCAUUCUUUCAGAUUUACCCUUCUUGGAGGGACUCUUUGACAUUCUUCCACUGGUUUGUGAUGAUAACCAAGCUCGGAACGCUCUCUGGUGUAUCUUAGCACCUUUGCUGGCACAAGCACAAGGAAUUGAUAUGAACUCUUCAUCUCUCAACGACUUUGUAUCUCUUCUGUUAGGCAAGUUCACCCUCAUGAAAGAUGACCUUGAGAACCACAGAGUUGACAAAGAAGUGGAGAUGUCAGCUGAGGAUGCUUACGUGAAGCAUGGGGUAUCGGCAUCUGUAUCCUCCCAAAAAAUACUUCAUGGAGAUGUUGGAGCAUUUAUUUUCUUUUGCAGAGUUUAAUACGGCAAACAUGAUGAAACAUAUUGUAACAGCACCAUGUUUUUCCUAACCUACAAAAAAAAUUACAGCUCAGCGCGAUCUGCCGUAUCAUGGAGAGAUGGAUUGCUGAGAAGUCCUCCCGGAGCGAAGAAGAGGCUGCAUUGACUGAAAGUACCAUUGAAAAUGCUAGAAAGCUGCUAACCUACUGCCAGAAUUACGAUGCGUAACUUGCUUACUGCAACUCUAGUGGACAUUGCUGACCUGUGACUGUGACUCUGUAAGGUUGCAAUGCGCGGCUGCUUGAGCGUAGAAAGUCUUUUGAGGUUUAAUAUUAUUGUAAAGGGCAACGGUGGUAUAGAGUAAUCGGUUGCUAUAUAGCAUGUUUGUAUGCUUAUGAUUUAGCUAAGAGCAAAGGUUGGUCCUUAAACUAGUUGUGUCACUUAGGUACCCGUACUCUCAAAAUGCAUAUCUGGCUCCUUGAACUUAGGCUCGGGUGCCACUUAGGUGCCUAUACUCUCAAAAUGCAGAUCUUACUCCUUAAACUUGGCUUCAGCUUCGGGUGUCAUAUAGGUCUCUAACUCUUGAAAUGCAGUAUCAUCAUAUUAAUAGAACAUGAUAAGAUCAAAAUUUUAUGCUUUCAAGCAAGCCAUUACUUUCAUUGGUACAUUUCCAAACUUGUCUUAUUGCCCCGUCAGCUUCUCUUAAUAUUCGAUCAGUAAUUUAUCUUAUAAGCCCCUAAUUUUAGUUUAGUAAGUGUAAUAGGUUAUUUAAAUUUGAAUAAUCUUUCAAGAGGUAAGAUAUUACCUUCAAACUAAAAGAUCAUAAACCUUUCUGGGUUCACCACAUCAAUAUUAUCCACACAUGUUGAGUUGAAAUUCAUUUUAUUUGACUACAAUUAAAUUAUAUCUAUGUAAAAUUAAGUUUUUAUCAAUUUAAUUGAGAUGACAAUGCUUUUAGAGAGGAUAUGGUUCUAGAUGACACUCGAAGCCAAGUUUAGAGGGUUAGAUCUGCAUUCUGAGAGUACAGUGAUCUAAAUAACACCCGAGCUCAAGUUUAAGGAGCUAAAUAUACAUUUUAAGAUUACGAGGAUCCAAGUGACACAACGAGACAAGUUUAAGGACCGUUCAUGCACUUUAUGAUAACUGGUAGUGCUACACAAGAAGGUGCUGUCAUUUAUCCAGCAUCUACAUCAUGCCGAAGUCACCUGCAUUAAAACAAAAAAAAACUCAUAAGCUUGUACAGGAAAGCCCUUUUAUUCUCCGAAUCUUAAACCCUAUACGCGGCUAGUCCCUCAUUGCCACCGUUGUUUACAGAAAUGGAUCUGUAUGAUAAUUGAUAACAAACAGCCAACACUUCUUAUUUUUACCAGUCGGUCUAGAACAAAAUCGGUCAAACUUUAUAAUAUAAAGAAAAUUGUAAAAACACAUUUUAGGUGUCACUUUUUUGAGAUUUCCCUACAAGUUGUUUUGUUGCAAGUGUCUACUCGCCUGCUUAAUUAUGUGCAAAACCCAUCCUAGUAGACACGUGCUUAGUUGAUUCUAUUUGUUUGCACCAAUUUGGAAUCGACAAUGUAGUCCUUAUCAAAGUUACGUACUUCCAGAAGUAUAGUAUCAAUAUUUUUUGCUAUUCCACGAAAAAAAAUGCUGAUGGGACCUGAAAGUUAUCACAUCAAAUUUUGCUAUUUGCCCAAAAAAAAAUAUUGCAACAGCAUGAAUAAGCUUAAUUCGAGCACUUGAACAAAAGCUUGACUCGACAUGUAUUAAUGAAAAUCGGUUAAGCAUGUAGACUUUGGGGGUUGCAUCAAAUCAAGUAGGGAUAUGCAUUUGUAAAAUGGCUCACGUAAAAUCUCAAACAAGUGACAUAUAAGGUGUUUCUUAUGCGAUUUUUUUCUUAAGAAUAACAUAAGAUUGAAGACAUAAUUAUGAUGUUACUCUAAUAAUAAAUCCGUAUUGAAAAUAUCAUAUGUUUGCUGAUGUACUAAAAGACUUAUGUUCUUAUAAGAUUGGUAGGGUCUUUUUCAUGAUAAAAAAUCUUUUCCGUACGAAAUGGAUAGAACAACGUUUUUUUUUUUUUGCGAAUAUGGAUAGAACAACGUUAGAGACGAGGUCAAAGGCUCAAUUUCAAAGCAGAGAUUUUAACAAACAGGAAUCUUUUGGAGGUUAUAUACGCAAAAGGCCAAUCCUACUCAGCUAUUCCUUCGCAUCACCACACGUUCCACGAGCUUGGACCCCAGUUACACCACUACAGCACCCGCCACAGCCACAGCAUCACGGCCUUCCAUUCCCCAAUCUAGGGUUGCGAGCUCCCCGCCACAGCCGGCCAUGCCCGACGCGGACGUCGACGCCGAGAUGCGCGACGCCGCCGCCGCCGCCGCCGCACCCGCCGGCGACGACGGCGAGGACGACACCGGGGAGGAGGACGACGACGAAGACGACAUCGACGACGAGGACGAGGAGGAGCCGACCGCGCCGGUGCCUGUACCGCCCGUGGAGCCUCCCGUCCCGGCGCCCGUCUCGGUCUUGCCUGGAAACCCGAACCAGCUGACGCUGCUCUUCCAGGGCGAGGUCUACGUGUUCGAAUCCGUCACCCCCGACAAGGUCUGCCCCUCAAUUCAUUUCUUUCUGUUUUGCAAUUCACGUGGAAAUGUGCCGCUUGAGAAUUCGUGCGAUCGAAUCAGAAAUUUGACGUGCCUAGCUGAAGUCGUUCGCGAUUGGAUAUGUGCUCGAUGUUCUGUUUUUUGUUUGGAGUCAUUUCCUUGUCGAAUGGUGCACGUAUUUGAACAUCAGGAUUUGCACGGCUGUUCUCACAGCUCAUUCUGGCCGGUUUCUGUUCCCACCUGAUUUUUUGGUGGGGUUGAAGUUCGCUAGUCAAUAUUGGUUUGUCGAAAUAUUGCUGACGUGGCAUCAAUUGUGAGUACCGAGUACUGUUUCAUCGGCGAAUGAAAUGGUUUGUGUUGGGGUAAUGGCCUAAUGGGUUUGAGUUUUGAAGCAAAUUUUGUGCUAAUGUUGACGUACAUAGCAAUACUUUUAUGCAGCACAGUGCUGUUGUUAGUAAGACCAGUCGUAUAGUUUUGGUUUACUUCUGUAAAUUGGAUACAGUCCUUAGUCCUUUUGGCUUGAGGAAAAUUUGCAACCCUGAAAUAGCUUGCCUUUUCCCCUAUAAGGAGCACAUUAAGAAAACAGCAUGGUAAUUUGUACUACUUAGUGCCAUAAGCCAUAUGUUUUACCAUGUUACUUGAAUAUCCAUCUGUGUUUUUUCUAAGCUCAGUUUGGUUUCCAGGUUCAAGCUGUCCUGUUACUGUUAGGACGUGGUGAACUACCACCUGGUUCAACUGGCAUGGUUUUACCUAAUCAAAAUGAGAACAAGGUACGCAUAAAUUCUUCUGCAGUCUGUAUGACAAUAAUUUUAUCAGUGUUUUCUUCAUCAAUGAUUAAUUAGCAACUUAGCAUUCUUUCUGCAGGGGUAUGAUGACAUACUUCGGAGGACAGACAUUCCUGCAAAAAGGGUUGCUUCUCUAAUUAGGUUCCGUGAAAAACGGAAGGAAAGGAAUUUUGAUAAGAAAAUACGUUAUGCAGUUCGCAAAGAAGUUGCACUCAGGUUUGUAUCUCGUCUUGAGCAAGCAUCAAUUUUAUUUUGAAAUUCUAUUGAAAAAGGUCUAGAUAAAUUGUAGGUGUGGGCUACCAGUAUUUAUUUUCAAUCAUUCGCAAUCCUUCAUAUUAUAUCUAAUAAUGAAAUUAUUUUGGUGCCAAUAGGAGCGGAAUUUAUUUCUGAUAGUAGUUUUUUGUUAUUUUAUUAGCACGCCAUGCUCCUGCCACUUAAUUAAAUAAAUGAUCAUUAUUGGACCACGACAAUUGGUUUCACUGGAGAUGCAACUCAGCUCAGCGUUUUACUGUGAUGACCAAAAACACGUGCUGUUAGUCUUUCUCCUCGCACUUGAAGUUCACCCUGACCAGAUUAUAUUCAUCAGUAAGGGAACUUGAUUUUGUCCAAGCUCCUAAUUUUACUUGCUUGUCGUUUUUCUUUUCUUUCCUUUUUUUCUUUUGGGGUGUUUGGUCAAUUUCUUUGUCUUGUAAAUAUCAUCGGAGAAUGAAAAUUGCUCAGUGACGAUAGCAAUAGUGUGGUUCUAUGAUAAGAUGCUACAAAUAUUAUAUAGCGGUUGUUGGAUGUCAGACCAUAUGCUGCUCAAAGACAUGGAUAUAACCUAGGUUGGAACCUGAUAGGGAUAGCUAGGGGUCUAGGCCUAGGAUGCAGAGGAAGGCAUAUCCUCAGAACUGCAUGGUACAUAGUCACGUAAAAGUCCUCCAUGUCAAAACAUGGAGCAAACUAGCAUAUCCUCUAAAUUGGAUGGUAAAUUAGAUGUCUUAUUAAUAAUUGGUGGUGUUUUCUAUUAUUCUCAGGAUGCAGCGCCGGAAGGGGCAAUUUGCUGGAAGGGCCAGUCUGGAGGGAGAAUCUCCAGGUCCUGGCUGUGAUCCUGGUUCCCAAAGCUCAGGCCUAGAUUUCGUAUCUCGUGAAUCAAAGUCUGUCUUGUAUUCAAUUAGUUAACACUUGAUACGCUUUUCUACCUGUUUCACCAUUUAAUGGAAAAUUGACCUCUUUUUUUUUCCAAAUAAUAUUCUGCAGGUGUCAGAACUGCGGUACUAGUGAAAAGAUGACCCCAGCAAUGCGCCGUGGCCCUGCUGGCCCAAGGACUCUGUGCAAUGCUUGUGGAUUGAUGUGGGCAAACAAGGUACAUUUACAUGCUUAAACAUCUCUCUCUCUCUCUCUCUCUCUCUCUCUCUCUCUCUCUCUCUCUCUCUCUCUCUCUCUCUCUGAUGGCUGACAUGAUCAUAUUUAUUUUCAUAUAGAUAGACAAUCCCUUAAUGCAUUUUCUUGUAACUUUUCCAGUCCCAAAGUGGUAUGGAUGCGAACACAGUCCCUAAAGGGCCGCUUGGCCAUUAAUUUCUAGUAAAAUUAUAUAUGUGAAACCAAAUGAAUUAUGAUAUUAUGAAAGCAUUUUCCAAGAUGAAUAUAUACAUAUCAUUUUCAUAUGACAAGUCUAAACAGACAUGACAACAUUCUAGGUCAAGCGAAUUGGUUGACUAUUUGUGAAUGGAGGGAGAACACAAUAAUAUUCAGGUGUAAUCUUUUUUGCAUGAUUAAACUUGGAAAAGUAGUCCUCCACAGCAUGGUUAACGCUGCGCUUGUUGCGAUGGUGUAACAGGACAUGCUAAGGUAGCAAUUCUGUUUUGCUGUUAGUGUGCUCGCAGCAAUGGUGCAUGCGUGGUUUCUGGUUAAAAUCAUGUCAUGUUGCCGCUGAAUUACAAAUACAGAGCUAUAUCUAGUCAUGCUCAUGUUGCUUGUUGAAGUCGUCAAAUAUGAACUUUAGCUGCAGUGCCUUAUCUUUUAAGAUAAAUAAUGCCUCCCCCAUGGAGGUCUGCUGUUGCAAUUUAAUGGUGAUAUGUCAGAAUAAUAGUCACAUUUUUCUUUGGAGAUGAACAGGAGGUAUCAUUUAACGCUUGAAAAGUUAAGGGAGCCCAUCUUUCUUGUAGUACUGUUAGCAAACUGCACCUUCGACUGUUAUUAUUUCAGUUGCACAGAGAUUGGGAGAAAGUGCAACCAGUUCUCUAUGCUAUGAACUUAUCUCAACUCUCAAGAUUUGACCACCCCUAAGCUUUUAUCAGGAUUUGACUGCUGAUUCCUAAAUAUAGUAUUUGGUUUUUGCUGGAAGUGGACAUCCUAUUGAACUUAUAGUGACCACUUCAUCUUUGGUGCCUGCAGGGUACGCUGAGAAGUUGCCCCAAGGCAAAAGUUGAAUCUCCUGCGGUUGCAAUUGAGCAGGUUCAGUUACUAAAUAUUGAGCACACAUUUCUGAGCUUUGAACAUUUUCGUAACCUCAGAGCAAUUCUUCUGUUUCUCAGGGUGGAAGUGACAACAAAGCACUGAUGGCACCGAAGAAUGACAACGUUUCUGCAAGCAACAGCGAAGCGUAAGUUCAAAACCAUUUACCCUUUUCCAUUGUUAUUCAGGCAGGCAGCUCAUGAACUCACGUGUUUGUCUUCUCCAGCACAAGUGCAGCAGAGACAGGAGCGCCAAAGGCGCCGUGACAGUAUAUAGACGUGAUUGUUGCCUAUAGCUAGACAAGACACCCCGAUAGAAAGCUCUGCUAAUGCGGAAUACUGAUUCUCGUCAAGUGUACAUUCAUUCCUUGCUUGACAGCGUUAGGCAUGUAAUUAUCAUAAGGUGUCCGAUUGAUGUCUGUUGUGUAAACUGUAAAGCCCAGAUGGCAUCUGUUGUGUUACAUUUGCUGCUUUCCUAAGCGGUGACAUUCACAUAAAUCAUAAUCGAGGAUCCUCAUUUCCCGUUGAUUCGACUGCCAUGUUAAUCUUCAAAUUGUAGCUGUCUGUGAUUCCUGUUCUGCACCUACAUGCACCAGGUACCUGAACCAUUUUUCAGACAGCUGAGAUGUGAAAUUGCAGCCUUUUCAUAUUGGUCGUGUGAAAAGGAAAAUAAAAAGGAAACCCCAUGGAAUGAACUCUGCGUCACUCAUGAUGCGACGGUACCUGGCAGAUUACGAAAUCACGGGAGGCUCGUGAUAUCAUGGCUGGCUAUCAUUAUGUUGUAGCGUGUACAAGGGAAAAAAAGAUAUCGGCUCGAUCCAACUAACUGUCAGCUUGCGAGCAUUUGCCGAAAGUCUACGCGCAACAAAAUAUUUUUGGUCCAUUUCGGAAAAAGAACUUCCAUGAACUGGGGGUGUUUGGAUACCAAGAGCUAAACUUUAACCCUGUCACAUCGGAUGUUCGGAUGUUAAUUAGGAUGACUAAACAUGAGUUAAUUACAAAACUAAUUGCAGAACCUCUAGGCUAAAUCGCAAGACGAAUCCAUUAAGUCUAAUUAAUCCAUCAUUAGUGAAUGAUUACUGUAGCACCACAUUGUCAAAUCAUGGACUAAUUAGGCUUAAUAGAUUCGUCUCGCGAUUUAGCCUAGUGGUUGUGCAAUUAGUUUUAUAAUUAAUCUAUAUUUAAUACUCCUAAUUAGUGUCCAAAUAUCCGAUGUGACAGGAGCUAAAAUUUAGCCUAGGGGAGCCAAACACCCCUGAGUUGUUCCAUGUCAGUCUCCUACAUUUUGAUUAACUUUUCAUGACUUUGCUUUACAUAUAAUGACAUAAGAUGUACACAAGUCUACCACCUAACAAUAUGUACGAAAUGUUUGGCAGGGAUUCUAGAUUACGUUUUCUCAUAGAAAGACGUGAUCCCUGGCAGAAAUUGUUUCUGGCAAGUGAUUCAAAUCAGAAAAUGAGGCCUUGUUUAGUUGCCCAACUUUGAAGUGUCAAAAAUACUGUAGCAACACUAUAGCGUUUCGUUUGGAUUUGUGAAUUAUUAUCCAAACAUUGACUAAUUAGGCUCAAAAGAUUCGUCUCGCAAAGUACAACAAAACUGUGCAAUUAGUUUUUAAUUACGUCGACAUUAGUACUCCAUGCAUGUACCGCAAGUUUGAUGUGAUGGGAAAUCUUCUUUUUGCAUAGUGCCAAAGUUGGUAUUUGGGGGUGAACUAAACAAGACCUGAGAGAAAGGGAGGGCGUUGAUGAUCUGCAAGAGGCAGUAGAAAAUGCAGCUGUUUGAGGUCCGUGACGUAAGCUAAUGACACCCAUAUAUGCACUUAGCGCCUCAUGUAGUAGACAAGCGGUGGCUGAGGUGACGAUGAGUUGCGAAGUUUGCGAUGGUUGAUUGGUGUGUAGUGUUGGAGCAGUGGCUUGGAGUUUGUAGUGUUUUGAGUGGUGUCGCGCAUGUUCGUUGGAGUUGCUUAAGGUUGGGUUCUUAUUUUUUUAUUUUUUAUUUGUUGUAUUGUUCAAUAUGGACUCUCAUCUUUUUUUUAAUAUAAUCGGUAGCUUUUAUGUCCGUUUCGUUUAAAAAAAGAAAAUAAGAGAAAUGCUUCUCUUACACGGGGAGCAUCAUGCAAAAUGUGGUUCGAUUCACUUCCUCUAUAUUUCAACUACCAUCCUCUCUUCAGAAAUCACCACGUGAGCCAACUCAUUUCACAAAAGUGAUUCUAAUUGUUUUUGAAAAAAAAACAUGUUCAGCAGAAAACAAAUCUAAAAUGUUUCUAGGAAAUCGGAAUUUUACCAAACAUGCCAUUAAUUCAAACAAAUAUGUGAAAUAGAUUCUUAGAAAAAAAUCCACCUCUUACAAUUUUUUUUUAUAAAACGUAAUUGCAAAUAGGCAAUGCUCGAAACUGUAGAGGCUACUUUAGCCUUUACAACUGCUACGAGUUCCGGUUUGAUGACAUUGACGUACAUUUGCUAUUUGCCACUUUUUUUUAUUAAAGAGGUCAGAAAUAGCCUCUUUUUAACGUAACGGAGCACUCCAGUCGAAUCUCGCGAGUCGACCCGCGAGGCCGUGACGACAACCCCGCUCGUAGUCGUGGCCUCGUGGGCGCGUCCAUCCCUUCCUGCGCACGCGUGCACCUCCCCGCCUCCUUCCUCCGCUCCCCGCCGGCGAUGUCGGUGCCCCCGGCCGGCAACCGCCAGGUCCCUGCCCCCGCCUCCUUCCCUCUCCCUCCGCUGUUCCCUCCCUUCCUAGCUGGCUCACUAUUUCCUUUCUCUGUUCUGCAGGUCUCCCUUCGGGGGUCGAGCGCGAGGGAGAUCACCCGCGACGCGCUCCUGCAGAAGGUCUCCGAGGAGCGCCAGCUCCGAAGCCACCUCCGCCGCGCCGCCGCGGCAGCCCUCUCCAUCCAGGUACCUGCCGCCGCCACCCCCAACCGCUGCCUGCUCUACCCAUCAUGGGUGUUGCCGUAUUGGGUACCCACCUAACCACCCAACCGCCCACCAAUUUCUGUCUGAGCUCUGAAAUCCGCUCGCUGCUCAUGAGUCAUGAUGCUGAUUUUAGGUCCGAUUUUUUCGUGUAGUUUAAUCUAUCUAAAGGCCCGUGGCUUGUUUGAAUUAUAGACACGCUUGAUCUGGAUGUCUUUCUGCAGAGGGGGAGGAAUUCUUUGGCUCAUGAGUAUAUUAUUUUGGCAAAGGCUGAUGGACUGAUUGAUACUCGGAUGUGUUAGGUGCAUUGUUCAGUUCGUAUUACUAUAAUACAUUAUGGGAAUGCAUGGAAAGCAUCCAGAAAACACUAUAUUUCUACUAAAUAUGCAGAGGGUAUGAACACUAGUGAUAAGCUUUAUGCAGAAGCUGUAGUUAAUCAAUCUAGAAUAUGUCCAAAAUUAAACAAAGCCCAGUCAGAAGUCAGAACAUUCAUGGACUACGACAUCAUGAGGAUGAAUAUGUGCAAUGGCUGUAUGAUUGUGCUUUCUUCAACUAUUCUUUUAAUACUGCACACUCAUCAAAUGGAUGGUCACUGUUCUUUUCUUUCUUAUGCCAGCGAAUAUGGAGAAGGUACUAUGUUAUAAGAAUGGUUUCAGAGCAGCUCCAUGAAGACUGGAGACUAUUAAUGAAUGAGCCUAACAUCGACUUGACAACUCAAUGGAUAUCUAGAAAGAUGCUCAGGCCAUUUCUUUUCUUCAUUACUCAACCUUGUAGCUGGUACAAGGGACAACGGAGCAAGACCGUGGAAUCUAUCUUAACAUGCUUCAAGAUUAUCUUGAAUAGCAUAAACUCAAAGGGUAUGUCUUUUUUAAUACUACUACUUUUGCUUUGACCUUUCUGUUUGGUGACUUGAUUGUUUGCGGUUAAUACUGAGGAACGUAAUCUUUGUAUUGCUCAAAGCCUCAAACCCUGUGCAAGAUGGCUGAAUACUUGAAAUAAGUUACCCACUUUAAGAGAAAUAUACAAAAGUGUAGCAGGGUGAAAACACAUCGAGUGGUAUUUCCCACCUUGGCAAUCCUCUUUAUGGUACUGAGUAAUAUCUUUGAUAUAAUUUACUAUCAGACAAUCAGUUCCUUUGGUGCUGACUUUAUUUGAUUAUAUUAUUCAAAUCAAUUGAAUUCAGUGCUUUAAAUUAAGAUUUAUUCCAAGCUUUGGUUGUACGAAGAAAUGGGUCUAACCAGUCACAAUAUGACCUUGUUGAUGGUAGCUCAACAACAGACGCAUGAUAAGCUUGAAAACAUCCACACUAUGAGUAUUCAAAUAUUAGUAUGUGAUACUGGGGAAUUUGAUGUCCACCACAAUAGUUUUGUUUUGCUAUACGAUAGAUUAAGCUAUGCGCCAAAAGUUUAACUUCAUUAUAUUUAGUCCUACAGCAGAACACCAAAUUGUUGGGGCAGGUUCCUUAUGCUUAUUUAUUCUGAUCAGUGCGCAUUCCUUUUCAACUGACUUGUAUCUUUUCUCUGUAGAUGCAAGCAAAAAUUUGUGUUCCUUUGCUGUGGGUAUGCCAGAAGAGAGGUCUAUUUGGCUUUAUCAGGCAAAAAAGCUGAUUUCACUGUGCUCUUUCAUACUUGCCAGGUGCGACCAUUCCUGUUUCAAGGAUGGAAGCAUGGUUGACAUGACUGCUAUUGCUAUGAGAUUGGCUGUGUCUUUAACUGACUGCAAAACAUGGAAAAGCUUAAAAAGUGAAAACACUAGAGCUGCAGAUGAGUCUGUAGAGAGUUUGAUUGAAUUUAUAGGUACAUGCCAGAGUGGCACAUAUAAUUGUGUUAGGCAAUAUAUAAAAUGUCUUGGUCCUCAUGUUACUUCAGGGAAGAAAAGUUCUGCAAUUGCAACUGCAACUGCAACAGAUGAUCAUUUUGUGAUUACUGCUAGUGCAGUCACUUUAGCCUUGCGCCCAUUCCACUCUAAGAAAGCAGAGAGGGGCACUGAUCUGAAUGGUGCUUCAAAGGAAUACUUCACACUGAUACUCACAAUACCAUAUCUAUGCAAACGCAUGCCACCUUUGCUGUUACCUGCUCUUAAGCACAUUUCUGUGCUGCAACCGUGUCUCAAUAUUUUACUGGUAAGGGUCUUAAUGUUGGUAUGGACAAAUUCAGCUCUGGCAUUUUCUAUUUUAUUGGAUUGAUUUUUGUGAAAGCAUUGACUCUCCAAGGAUUCAGAACUUUCAACUACUAUUUUUUCUUGUGUUGACAUAACAAGAUAGUAAGAAUUAUUCGUCUAGUUGAGCCCUCUAACUUUCAAAGUAGUGUAUUUAUAUCUGCUAAAUUCUUAACCGAUGUUUGUUUUACUGUAAGAAGCACUUUGCUGUUUGUGAUCAAUAUACUGCUCUGUAUUGCUCUGUAUGUUGGCGCACCGUUGUAAGAUAUGCCAUGACAUGAUUCUUGCUACAACUUUUUAACUUAUAGUGUGGCUGACCUAGUCAUAAGUGAACUAAAUGCAAUUGCUAAAGGAUACCAAUCUUAUUCUAGUCUCAUUUCUACUCGUCUCCAAGUUCCCAUAGUGUUUAUAAGAAACUUCAGCAUUUUCUCUAUAUCUAGGGAAAAAAAAAUAAUUAAGUUCCGUGCUACUUGUGAUUUUAAUGAAUUCUUGACACUUAUCCUUCUAGGUGUUGUAGUGUUGGUAUUAUUGCUUCGCUACCUACUUCAGCAGUCAGUGUUUUUAAAUUUACAUGAACCAUCACAGUUUAUUCGUUGUUUAUUUUAAAGGAUGGCAUAUUGUAAAUGUGGAACUGAUCAAGCCAUGGCAGGUGGUGGCAGAUCUCCAAGGAUAAAAUUUUUGAAGAUAUAAUAAAAUUGGAGCAGUCAGAGGUUUCAGCUGUUGGCGCUACUGUUAUUCCUUGCUCUGGUUGGGCUCUUGGAAAUAUCGUAAAUUUAGCUACCAAUCAUGAUGAUUUAUCCAAUUCAGGGUGCUUCAUUGAAGGGCUAGAUUUUUGCUUAUAUGUUGAUGUUAUUAACUGUAUUUCCCAAAACUUACUGGAAAGUUUUGAGAAAAGCAAGGGAAUGUCUGUUGGUAAUACCGCUUUCCAUGCUGAGACAUCUAUUGCAGAGGAAGGGGAUACAAAUGGCAGCAGCAUGAGAACAUUAUUUAUGGACCUUCUGAAGCCAAUUUACCAGCAGUGGCACCUGAGGAAGCUUUUGACAUUGGCAAAGGAGGAUGUUUCGUGCAGCAGGGGAACUAAUUAUGAUCCAAUUCGGAGCCUAAAGUUGUCAGAUGUCGUAUGCUUCUACUAUCACUUGCUCAGAAUUUUCUCAUCAUUCAACCCUUCUAUCGGCGCGCUGCCUAUUCUCAAUAUGCUUGCAUUCUCUCCUGGAUUUCUUGUUGAUUUAUGGGGGGCACUAGAAAUAUCCAUUUUUGGCCAAGCAAUCCAGAAUUUACAAGAAACAGGACAGGAUAAACAGUUGGCUACAAGUAGUUCAGGUGAGCAAGUAUCCUCCACGAGGCAAAGAAGGAAUGCCAAGGACACAGCAACCAAGUGGGCAAAUGUGCUCCAGAAGAUUACAGGAAAAUCCAAUGAUUCAGAGGAGGGCACAAUGCCAGAUAAUAUUUUAAUUUCUCAGCAGUCUAAUGAUGAUGCAUUAACUUUAUGGGAUAUUGAAGCUAUGAGACAUGCAUCUGAAGGUAUUGGAAAGGACUUAACGUGCAUGAUGUAUCUUUUUUGUGCUAUAUAUGGGCACCUAUUACUUGUGCUAGAUGAUAUUGAGUUUUAUGAGAAGCAGGUAAUAUGCUCUGUGCCCAUGCGCAUCUCUAUAUAUCUUAGUCACCUCACCUUUUGAUGGCACUCUUUGCUUUCUCUGACUUUACAGGUUCCUUUUACCUUAGAGCAGCAGCGGAAGAUCGCAUCAGCACUUAAUACAUUUGUAUACAAUUCUUUUGUUCAGAAUGGUGGAAGCUACAGCAAACCGCUUCUGGAUGUAUCUGUCAGAUGUCUUAAUCUACUAUAUGAAAGGGAUAGUAGGCAUAAGUUCUGUCCAAUUUCUUUGUGGUUGGCACCUGCUAGAAAUGGUCGAAUUCCAAUUGCUGCUGCUGCCAGGGCCCACGAGGCAGCAUUUGGUAAUUUUCCAGGAAAUAAUUCUUCAGGAAUUCCUACCCGGAGCUCUGUGCUUACCACAUUACCACAUGUAUAUCCGUUUGAGGAGAGGUACCUUACUGUAUUUAGAUCCAGAAAAAGUCAACACCUUCCAUAGAUAUCGUAAACUUAACUGAACUGAUAUUUUGAAAUUUUAAAAAAUCCUAAACUUAAGCUUAUGAUCUUUGAGUUAAUUGUUCAUACCUACCUUACCAACCUGUCCUGAGUUCCUUUUUGCAGUUGACAAUUGAAAUUGGUUGUUCUUUGUUGCUGUUCUCACACACAGAUCCCCUAAAGAGAUACUUAUACACCAUGAUUCACUUUAGUAGCAAUUUUCUUGCUGUAUCAAAACUUAAAAACUUAUACUUCUUAAUUCCUAUCACUGAUUGUAGGUACAUGAUAUUUCACAAAGUUUACCUGGUAAUUCUGUCUGUUGGUUGUGGAAAGUUUGAUACACAUGUCCCUUUAAAAAUGGCCAAAGUCAGCCCUUUUACCAAAAAUGUUUAAAUUUGCGUACAAAGUUCUAACAGUUUUCAUCUGAGAUUUAUUGAAUGAAAAGUUACCCAGACCUUUUCCGCUGCUGGAGCUCAUGUAGUGGUCAUAUGAUAAUUGUCUAGCUUUAUUGUUAUGUUGCUAUGGCAUGACAGACAUAUCUCACUAGUUUGUAUUCAUUUUUGGUUUCGUCGUGAAUUUUAUUUAUAAUAGCACAUAUAUUCUUUUUACAUGCAGCACACAAUUUUAGUACAUAAACAUUUCUAUGCAAUCCUAACUUUUCUUAACACCAUUUUAUGUCGUUUACCCAGAGUGCAGAUGUUUAGAGAAUUUAUUGAGUCAGACAAAGCAUCAAGAAGAGUUACUGGUGAAAUAUCUGGACCAGGUCCGGGAUCUAUUGCGAUAGUUAUACGUCGAGGCCAUAUAAUUGAAGAUGGAUACAGGCAGUUGAACUGCCUAAGGUCAAAGUUGAAAUCUUGCAUUCAUGUGUCAUUUGUAAGUGAAUGCGGCCUUCCUGAAGCUGGUUUGGACUAUGGUGGUCUCUCAAAGGAGUUCCUAACGGAUCUUUCUAAGACUGCUUUUAGUCCGGAGUAAGCAUACUGUUAGAACUUUUAGCCCUUAAAUAUACAACUUGUUUUUUCUCAAAAGUGAAGAGUACUGUCAUUCAUCAAGGCAAUGUUUCUAACCUUUUCUAUUUCUCACAAUACUCAAUAGGUAUGGGCUGUUUUCACAAACAUCAGCAUCUGAUACCAGCUUAAUUCCUAGCAAUUCUGCUAGGCUUUUGGAUAACGGCAUUGAUAUGAUUGAGUUUCUUGGUCGAGUUGUCGGCAAAGCACUCUAUGAGGGGAUUCUGUUGGACUAUACUUUUUCACCGGUAUUUGUGCAGAAACUUCUUGGGCGGUAUAAUUUUUUGGAUGAGCUAUCAACACUUGAUCCUGAGCUCUAUAGAAAUCUUAUGCAACUAAAGGUACUAUAGAUUUUUGUUUUGGUUUGGUUCCCAAGAUACAAGCAAGUUAAACUACUACUUAGAAUAUUACUUUUUCCAUUGAAAUGAUCAUGUUAUCGGUGGAUGGCUAUUAUCAGCCCUUUAUUUUAGUAUAUGUACCGUUUUAUUUAUAAAUAUCAAUCAUUAUCCACUAGUGCUGCUUAGCUUUCCUUAUCAUUCUUUCAAUGUAUUUGUAGUUUGCAGUGUUCACAUGUUAGGGAUCAAUGCUACGCAUUUAUUGUUGCUCCUCAUAUUUUUGACAAGAUCUUGACAUUUAUUAAGCCUUGUUAAAAUUGGUUGUACUUUUGGUAUUGAUGUGGUUUCUCUCUGUAGAGGUUAUAUAUCAUAUUAGUUUUUUUAUCAGCUACCUCUGUAAAGACUGCAUAUGGUGCCAGUUUGGUUUUUCUUUUAAUGAAAUAGCAUGCAUGUAAUGAGAUGAUAAAUUUUGAUGCUAUCACCUUUUUUGUAAGAAUAAUGUGAACUACUUUUCUACCAAACAGCACUAUGAUGGGGAUGUUGAGGAUCUAUGUUUGGAUUUUACUGUAACUGAAGAGUUGGGUGGUAAAAGAAUCAUCCAUGAGCUGAGACCUGGUGGUAAAAGUACAUCUGUCACGAAUGAUAAUAAGCUGCAUUAUGUUCAUGCAAUGGCAGAUUUCAAGCUUAACCGCCAGGUUGUGACUUGGUCCAUUUUUCUUAUGAUUUGUGAGGUUUUUUUCUGUACCAGUAAGAAAGCUUUUUUAUACCAUUGUCCUUGCAGAUACUUCCAUUUGCAAAUGCAUUUUAUAGAGGACUCAGUGAUCUCAUUUCACCAUCUUGGCUAAGCCUGUUUAAUGCAAAUGAAUUUAAUCAGGUAUUUCUCUUCUAUUUUCUUUCUUUCUGUUUUUUGAGAGAAUUCUCUUCUAAAUUUUGGAUACUACUGAAACUGGCAUUGCCCCUGCUAUACCGUGGAACCUGAUCUUUGAACUGACAGUAGUAAAUAAAGUAGAUAAAGUAGAAAACUCUGAAUGAAUCAAUUACUAAAAAUUAAGAAAAAAAUUCUAACUUAAAAUAUUUUGUAAAACUUUUUGAAAAAUGAAAUUGUGAUGUAAAAGGUAUAAAUGAAGAAAAAUUGAAAUUCAAAAAUGCGCUUGAGUAAAUAACACAUCGUGCUUCUUUUUGGUAAAGAGUACCAAUUAGAACUGGCCAAAUACCCUAGCACCCUUGAUAUAUCAACCAACAAUUGACUAGCUCAAAAAAAUUAUGGCAUACAACGUAUUAGCUGGUUUAGUGCGUGAAUGCCCAAGGCCCAAAACUGAAACUGUGAUAGCCCACAAUUUCAAAACCCUGCUAAUUAUCAUUGCCGCAUGCAGUUACUUUCAGGCGGGCUGCAGGAUUUUGAUGUUGAUGAUCUGCGGAACAACACUAAGUAUACUGGUGGUUAUACGGUGUCAAGUCGAACUGUUAAACUCUUCUGGGAGGUAUAUGUAUUUGUAUAAUUUUGAUCAUUUUGCAUUAAUGGCUUCUUGCUAUUUCCUGUUUUGCAUUCUUAUAUUUUGAGACCAUGUUUUGCAUAUAACAUGGAAAAGAUCCUAGGGCUAUUAGCUUGGUUACCUAUGUUCAUGCAAAUUAUACACCCAAUUUGGAAAAUGGAUGGAACCGCUGGAGUUUGUUUAUGUAUUUUCUUGUUUGAUGAUAAAAAAAAACUCGACCUGCGGGGGUAAGACAGCCCUCGGGCUUUUUUCUAAGAGAGAAGACCUUCUCACACAGGUCGAGAAAACCCCCGAACCUCUGCCCCGCCCUUACCCAGGGGCCUGUAACCCUUGUGAGACUACCACUAGGCUAGCGACCACUGCAACUACCCCAAGUAGGAGGGCCCAAACCAACCACAGCUACGACUUGGCUUGGGCCUUGACCUGUGCUUUGGUUAUGGUGACAGAACCUGAGGAGUGCUACUGGGACCAUCUAACCAACUCAGCUAGAGGCCCGUUCGCUUCUUGUUUGAUGAUAACUUUGGAAAAUAUCAUUUGGUGUUCUCAUUCUGUAAUACAAUUGUGACCCUGACAUGCCGGCAGCUGAAACUUGCCAUAUACACUCCUGUCAUUGUGCUGCAUUACUGUGGCCUACUUGCAUGUGUAGCAUUUGUCCACCCCUUUUCAGUGCUACAUGGUUUGGUCUGUUUGCUUUGCUGGUAUUUCAGCCCAAUUUUGUUAAAUAACUGUUUUUGUUUACCAGCAGCAAAUAAAUUAUUGCUUAUAUGGUUCUCACAUCUGUACUCAUUCUGCAGGUCAUCAAAGGAUUGAAGCCAACAGAGCGUUGUUUGCUCCUGAAGUUUGUGACAAGCUGUUCACGAGCUCCCUUACUUGGAUUCAAGUACCUGCAGCCUUCUUUCACAAUACAUAAGGUUUGAUCAAGCAGAUUGCAAGAACUUUUCCUGUUUUGGGGAUAUGUGAUAGAUUGACUUAGGAAGGUGUGGCGUACCGCAUUGCUGCUGUGCAGCAACUUCUAAGCCCUUGAUAUCUUUACCCUUUCUUUGCACUAGUGAAUCAACUGAGGUGUUGCAUGCUUUUCAACCAAAAAAAAAAAACUGAUUUGUUGCAUAGUUCAGAUACCCUCUAAAUUUGUGUAUGGAGCUAACGCUAAUUAUCUCAUUGAAGGAAGUACUUGAUGGUAUUGGUUUUAGUUCUGUAACUAUGAAAACUCUGGCAACAGGGUUGAAUCCAUGUAUUAUUUUGUUCUUUUCUAUCUGAUUCAUCAAUCUUCUCUCAUUGGCCUAGGUUCCAUGUGAUGUAACACUUUGGGCUUCAAUUGGAGGCCAAGAUGUAGACCGCCUUCCAUCUGCCUCCACAUGCUACAAUACGCUCAAGGUAUGGCUACAUGUGUGUCUGCAUUCAAUCAGUAUCAUCUCUUCGCUCUGCUGCUAUUGUAAUCUGUUUUGAGUUCAUUCUUUGACAAGUCAAAUCUCUUAGGAUCAGUGGCCAUUGAGCAUUCAUAUAUCCUGGCAUGCAUUUCUAACUUCUUUUCUAAUGCUUUUUGUUGCCUUCAGCUUCCGACGUACAAGCGAUCAAGCACGCUGAGGAGCAAGCUGCUCUACGCCAUCAGCUCGAACACCGGGUUUGAGCUCUCGUAGAGGUAGUGUAUAUGCAGUGGUGCCGUCGUAACCGUGUUAAGGUUUGCUGUGAAUAGAGGUAUAGCGAAAUUUCAUCAGAUGUAUGAAUUGCCGCCAAUAUUAUCUUGUUCAUUCGGAACAACAGCUCAUUUGAAGGUUAACGCGAAUAUCUAUUCCAGUACAGAAGUUUGUUGGCAAGUCGAAAUGCCGGAACAGUAUGCAUUUCUAUGGUAUGUGCUUGUGCAGUUCAGCAGUUGCCAGUAGCUUCAGCUUAUCAGCUACCGAACAGUAUUUUUCUCUCACAACAAAUCAGUUGUUUUAGCUUUUCAGCCGGCUUAUAAAUUCAGCCGAACGCUCCCAACUGGUGGUCCCGGCCUGCCCAGACGGGCAGCUUUGUAAGUCGGUGCUCUCAGAAAGUUCAGGGGAAGGCACUCCGUGUGGGUAGAACCCAACGGCUGUAUGCUACUUCGAAAUAUGCUGCUUACGUACUUUACGUCGAUCACUCAAGGUCCAAAUUCCAGAUUGGGAAGACGGCGAAGAUAGAAAUUAUACCGAGCGGCACUCUUACACACCAGUCCAACUGUUCCUAAAGCAGAACACAACUACAGGAGAUCAUGGACAGGCAGCAAGCAAACAAACAAAGCACAAGCUAGCAGUAGCAGCGCAGAACGACAGAAAAGCAAGGUACAUGGAUCGGGUACGGCGGCAGGAAGGGGAAUUGGAGUGUGUUUCCCGGAGGCGCGGCGGGGCUGCGUGCGUCGCUCACGCGAUGAGCUGCAGGCCCUGCAGGAGCAGCGCGUCGGCGAGCACCCGGUUGGCGGCGUCCGUGGGGUGGAAGCCGUCCCAGAAGACGUAGCCCGUGGCGUUGGUGCACGUCCCCGGGGCGCCCUGGUGGCACAGCACCGACGUCUCGAUGGUGCCCGUCCCGCAGCACGCCCGCCGCGACUCGAAGAACCCUGAAAUCAUCAUCGAGCAUGGACGACGACUUGUCAUAAAAAAGUAGGGAGAAGAGCAGAGGAUUUUGUCGUCCGGCGUGCACUGAUCCGGCCCCUUACCGGCGCUGGUGGGGUUGUUGACGAGGUCGAGGAGCGGCUGGUAGAUGUCGAAGACGAUGAGCUUGAGGUCCGGGCGUUGCCGCUUCACGGCGUCCGCGGCCGAGUCCAACUUCCGGUUGAAGGUCAGGGAGUCGUUGUUGAGGCGCUCCACGCAGCCUGUGCUCCCGCCGCCGAACAGGGUGACGGCUCCCGGGAGGCACCCCAUCGGCGGCAGCGACGUCACGCCGAUCCGGCGGGCGCCCAGGCUGUACAGGCCCUGCAUGGCAUCACGUACGUUGGCACACAUUCAGGGUCCUUUGGAUUUGGAUUGAAGGAAUUUUGUGGGAAUACUGUUCAUAGAGGAAUGCUUCCUAUUCUAUCUUUGGUUUGCAGGAAACGUGAAUAGUAUUCCAUAGGAAUUUUACUCCUUUGCAUGCUGAUUCCAAAGGAAUUUUAAAAUCCACUAAAACCUCUUGGUAAAAUUCCUAUGCACGAAGAACGAGAAAUUCAAUGUUGUUGGUGCUAGUUAAUUGUUGUCCUUGCAUGUGGAGCUGAGCAUAAUUGUUGGUGCAUACUUUAGACAUGUCUUAUCAAUCAGUGGAAAACAACAACUUCAUCAUAGCUAAAACUCCUUUAGGAUUCCUACGUUUUUCCUAUGACCUAUCCAAAGGGUCAUUCCUUCAAAAUUCCUAGAUUUUCCAAUCCUAUGUUUUGCAUCUACAUUCCUACAAUAUUCCUUUGUUUUUCCUAUUCCCAUGUUUCUCUUUUCCUUCAUUCCAAAGGAGCACUCGGUGCUUAUCAGCCAUGCAAGCACAGAGCUGAGUGAUUCCUCAAUUGAAUACUCCUCAACCAAUUCCGCAAGCACAGAGUAUUCAACUAGAAGCAGUGCAUUAUUGGACACUUUCAGUUUCAGAUGCGUAUGCAGUUUAGUUAUUACCCUGAUCUGAUGGUUGAUGCGAGCGACGAGCAUCGCUCUAGGCUUUCUGGAAGAAGAUUUGUCGUGUCCUUGACUUGUUCUCUCUCCCCUCUGGAUCGCAGCAACUCUACUGGUUUGGUUUGGUACACGCCAUUUAAGAUUUACUGCCACGGCCACGGGCCAUGCAUGUCGGUAUCACUCAAUGUGAUGAGCUGACGAUGCACUAUGCAACAUUACUGGUACUACCCCAUAUCGAGUAGUAUUUGAGACAGCAUCUUGACUAGUGACCACCGAGCGAGCGAGUGCAUCGACAAAGGCUGGCCAACGCCAGUGCAGGCGCAGUAAUUAACCAAGGGUACGUGUCCUAUCUCUACCGUUCUCUCCAUGCAUGGACACCGUUGCGGGGUUUGGCAUGGAAACGGAGGCGCGUUAUUCAUCGGGCAGCAGCCAGCACUUUCCGUGCUAGUGGUGGUUGGGCCGGCGCCAGUUUGAUGUCGCAAAGAAACAUCGAACACGCAUGCAACUUUCCACAACGGCGAGCCACUGUACCCACCGUCUCUACUUCUCCACAGCUCGCAACGUACACUCGGUCACAUGCACCGGAGCACGAACGAAAUCUCGAACCCAAUCUCCAAGCAUAGCAUGCAACUAGUAGGGACGCGACAUGUGACGACAGUUAACACACUAGAGCUGCAGUGGACUGGGCCCAAUAGGUCUCCAAAGGCUUGGCAUUGAUGUCGCAGCAACGAGCCAACGACUCCGUACGCAGAGACACAGUGGACGGCAGGCGACCAUGUUCACCCAGCAGAGGGGUCCUAGCCUCCUAGGGGAGUUACUGAGGCCAUUACAUUGCGCUGCAUUCAUUCCUACACGGCCCUACUCGCUGCAACCUGUGACCUCAUAUCGUAUCCACCACUGGCCCCCUGCGACGCCACUUGGUGGACGU